GAUGAACGCUAGCGGCAGGCCUAAUACAUGCAAGCCGGACGGGAUUGUGGAGCUUGCUUCACAUGAGAGUGGCGCACGGGUGCGUAACACGUAUGUAACCUACCUUGUUCAGGGGGAUAGCCUCUCGAAAGAGAGAUUAAGACCGCAUAAAAUCACAUACUGGCAUCAGUAAAUGAUCAAAUAUUUAUAGGAACAAGAUGGGCAUGCGGAACAUUAGCUAGUUGGUGAGGUAACGGCUCACCAAGGCUACGAUGUUUAGGGGAUCUGAGAGGAUGGCCCCCCACACUGGUACUGAGACACGGACCAGACUCCUACGGGAGGCAGCAGUAAGGAAUAUUGGUCAAUGGACGGAAGUCUGAACCAGCCAUGCCGCGUGCAGGAAGACGGCCCUAUGGGUUGUAAACUGCUUUUGCAGGGGAAUAAACCUCAUUACGUGUAAUGAGCUGAAUGUACUCUGAGAAUAAGGAUCGGCUAACUCCGUGCCAGCCGCCGCCGUAA
RNAcentral lists this ribosomal RNA (498 nucleotides) under uncultured bacterium. RNAcentral's name for it is "partial 16S ribosomal RNA". It matches the Rfam family "Bacterial small subunit ribosomal RNA", at positions 28 to 523 of the family's 1533-position model. The record is from RNAcentral.